UCCAGAUCUUAAGGUGGUCUAAUGAUAUCU
RNAcentral lists this non-coding RNA (30 nucleotides) under Mus musculus (house mouse). The record is from RNAcentral. Lineage: Eukaryota; Metazoa; Chordata; Mammalia; Rodentia; Muridae.